UGUUUGACUUUUGAAAAUUUGGUCGAUGUAAGUUAAUUUAAACAAAUUUAAUCCCUUAAUUGUUUAUAAUGUUGCACUUUAAGCCUCUAGUGUUAUAUAAUUGUCAAAUUUCAUUAACAUAUGAUUUUAUUUUUAUCAUUUAGAAUU
Ipomoea nil (Japanese morning glory) is the source of this 147-nucleotide long non-coding RNA. RefSeq lists it as uncharacterized. The transcript is spliced from 3 exons. NCBI's taxonomy places the organism in Eukaryota, Viridiplantae, Streptophyta, Magnoliopsida, Solanales, Convolvulaceae. The record is from RefSeq and is a predicted model, not a curated record.